RNAcentral lists this ribosomal RNA (253 nucleotides) under uncultured bacterium. RNAcentral describes it as "partial 16S ribosomal RNA". It matches the Rfam family "Bacterial small subunit ribosomal RNA", at positions 524 to 776 of the family's 1533-position model. The record is from RNAcentral.
UACGAAGGGGGCUAGCGUUGCUCGGAAUCACUGGGCGUAAAGGGUGCGUAGGCGGGUUUUUAAGUCAGGGGUGAAAUCCUGGAGCUCAACUCCAGAACUGCCUUUGAUACUGAAGAUCUUGAGUCCGGGAGAGGUGAGUGGAACUGCGAGUGUAGAGGUGAAAUUCGUAGAUAUUCGCAAGAACACCAGUGACGAAGGCGGCUCACUGGCCCGGUACUGACGCUGAGGCACGAAAGCGUGGGGAGCAAACAGG